Molecule: non-coding RNA, 503 nt
Organism: Bactrocera oleae (olive fruit fly)
Lineage: Eukaryota; Metazoa; Arthropoda; Insecta; Diptera; Tephritidae
Source: RefSeq, a predicted model, not a curated record
AUUUAGGUUGUUAACAAUAACUUAAAAUAUUCAUCUUGGCCAAAAAAAUUUAAUUAAACCGCGAAUCGCGAGGUUUUUUUGCAACUUUCAAGGUGCAUUAACUCAGCAACAAAAGGUCAACGUUAUUCGGCAUCAGAAGUGGCAGAUGAAGCAUAUUUUGGAGAUACCACAAUCAGAGUGGCAAAAGUGUUUCGAAAAUUGGUUUAAACGCAAACCUCGUAAGACCAUCAUUAAUGGCCAUCGUGUCUGUAUUGGAGGAUGUGAAUGUGGUUCACCUUUGGUUCCAAAAAGACGGCGCUACAUCCCAUACAGCCAUCGAUACAUCAAUACAUUUAUUGAAGGAAAUAUUUGAUAAUCGGGAGACAAUUGACGCCUUGGAAGAGAAUAUUCGACGCGUUAUUUCUGACAUACGGCUCCUAUUUGUAAGAAAAGUGGUCGCAAAUUGAGUUUCCCGGCUGGAAUUUAUACAUUUUCCCGAAAUCUUUUUAAAACAUAAUGGCAAG